CCGAGCCGUGUGAAGGACACUCAGAUGGGCCGAGUCGCGCACGAGAGAAAAUGGGCCGAGCCGUACACAAGUGAAGAUGGGCCGAGCAGUGCACGAGUGAAGAUGGGCUGAGCCGAAGUUGUUAAGGAUGCGAGCCCACUGAAACCCUAGGCAAAAACAUUAUGACGGUGGCCGCACAACAUGAUAAGGAAAUAUUCUGAAAAUCUCUCCCGU
This 213-nucleotide long non-coding RNA is filed under the name Eutrema salsugineum. RNAcentral's name for it is "long non-coding RNA (ESAL_LNC001522)". The record is from RNAcentral. Lineage: Eukaryota; Viridiplantae; Streptophyta; Magnoliopsida; Brassicales; Brassicaceae.